RNAcentral lists this small RNA (450 nucleotides) under uncultured Glomus. RNAcentral's name for it is "SSU rRNA". It matches the Rfam family "Eukaryotic small subunit ribosomal RNA", at positions 569 to 1023 of the family's 1831-position model. The record is from RNAcentral. Lineage: Eukaryota; Fungi; Glomeromycota; Glomeromycetes; Glomerales; Glomeraceae.
AGCAGCCGCGGUAAUUCCAGCUCCAAUAGCGUAUAUUAAAGUUGUUGCAGUUAAAAAGCCCGUAGUUGAAUUUCGGGGUUAGUAGGUUGGUCAUGCCUCUGGUAUGUACUGGUCUCACUGAUUCCUCCUUCCUGAUGAACCGUAAUGCCAUUAAUUUGGUGUUGCGGGGAGUUUGGACUGUUACUUUGAAAAAUUAGAGUGUUUAAAGCAAGCUAACGCUUGAAUACAUUAGCAUGGAAUAACGAAAUAGGACGUUCGAUCCUAUUUUGUUGGUUUCUAGGAUUGACGUAAUGAUUAAUAGGGAUAGUUGGGGGCAUUAGUAUUCAAUUGUCAGAGGUGAAAUUCUUGGAUUUAUUGAAGACUAAACUACUGCGAAAGCAUUUGCCAAGGAUGUUUUCAUUAAUCAAGAACGAAAGUUAGGGGAUCGAAGACGAUCAGAUACCGUCGUAG